UACGGAGGGAGCUAGCGUUGUUCGGAAUUACUGGGCGUAAAGCGCGCGUAGGCGGCUUUGUAAGUUAGAGGUGAAAGCCCGGAGCUCAACUCCGGAACUGCCUUUAAAACUGCAUCGCUUGAAUCCAGGAGAGGUGAGUGGAGUUCCGAGUGUAGAGGUGAAAUUCGUAGAUAUUCGGAAGAACACCAGUGGCGAAGGCGGCUCACUGGACUGGUAUUGACGCUGAGGUGCGAAAGCGUGGGGAGCAAACAGG
Molecule: ribosomal RNA, 253 nt
Filed under: uncultured bacterium
Lineage: Bacteria
Description: partial 16S ribosomal RNA
Rfam family: Bacterial small subunit ribosomal RNA
Source: RNAcentral